This 288-nucleotide long non-coding RNA is filed under the name Olea europaea (common olive). RNAcentral describes it as "long non-coding RNA (OEUR_LNC001211)". The record is from RNAcentral. Lineage: Eukaryota; Viridiplantae; Streptophyta; Magnoliopsida; Lamiales; Oleaceae.
GGACCAAUUAUGUAAACUAUACCAACAAUAAGCAUAAAGUCACAACCCCGACACUCAGCACAUAGACAAAUCGUAAGUCCACACAUAGUUCAAAAUCCCGUGGAGUAAAGUGUAUACAGAACAUCACCGUGAAAAGUGCCACGUAGUCCAUGCAAGUGAGACUCAAAACCUUAAAUUAGUAAGAAAAGACACGUGAAAACAACCAGACAGAGGUGUAUGUCUACCAAGUGACAGUCAAAUCCAAUUCCACGAGGACCUAUAUCAAAUAUUACGAUUGUCACAAUUUUA